RNAcentral lists this unclassified non-coding RNA (520 nucleotides) under uncultured Glomus. Its description in RNAcentral is "SSU rRNA". It matches the Rfam family "Eukaryotic small subunit ribosomal RNA", at positions 569 to 1092 of the family's 1831-position model. Lineage: Eukaryota; Fungi; Glomeromycota; Glomeromycetes; Glomerales; Glomeraceae. The record is from RNAcentral.
AGCAGCCGCGGUAAUUCCAGCUCCAAUAGCGUAUAUUAAAGUUGUUGCAGUUAAAAAGCUCGUAGUUGAAUUUCGGGAUCAAUAUGUUGGUCGUGCCUCGGUACGUACUAGCAUAUUGGUUUCUCCUUUCUGAAGAACCAUGAUGCCAUUAAUUUGGUGUCGUGGGGAAUCAGGACUGUUACUUUGAAAAAAUUAGAGUGUUUAAAGCAAGCAUACGCUUGAAUACAUUAGCAUGGAAUAAUGAAAUAGGACGUUUGAUUCUAUUUUGUUGGUUUCUAGGAUCGACGUAAUGAUUAAUAGGGAUAGUUGGGGGCAUUAGUAUUCAAUUGUCAGAGGUGAAAUUCUUGGAUUUAUUGAAGACUAACUACUGCGAAAGCAUUUGCCAAGGAUGUUUUCAUUAAUCAAGAACGAAAGUUAGGGGAUCGAAGGCGAUCAGAUACCGUCGUAGUCUUAACCAUAAACUAUGCCGACUAGGGAUCGGAUGAUGUUAAUUUUUUAAUGACUCAUUCGGCGCCUUACG